Molecule: ribosomal RNA, 726 nt
Filed under: uncultured bacterium
Lineage: Bacteria
Description: bacterial SSU rRNA
Rfam family: Bacterial small subunit ribosomal RNA
Source: RNAcentral
AGCGGCGAACGGGUGAGUAACACGUAGGUGAUCUGCCCAUCAGACGGGGACAACGAUUGGAAACGAUCGCUAAUACCGGAUAGGACGAAAGUUUAAAGGUGCUUCUGGCACCGCUGAUGGAUGAGCCUGCGGCGCAUUAGCUAGUUGGUAGGGUAAAGGCCUACCAAGGCGACGAUGCCUAGCCGACCUGAGAGGGUGAACGGCCACACUGGGACUGAGACACGGCCCAGACUCCUACGGGAGGCAGCAGUAGGGAAUCUUCGGCAAUGGGCGAAAGCCUGACCGAGCAACGCCGCGUGAAUGAUGAAGGCCUUCGGGUUGUAAAAUUCUGUUAUAAGGGAAGAACGACUUUAGUAGGAAAUGGCUAGAGUGUGACGGUACCUUAUGAGAAAGCCACGGCUAACUACGUGCCAGCAGCCGCGGUAAUACGUAGGUGGCGAGCGUUAUCCGGAAUUAUUGGGCGUAAAGAGCGCGCAGGUGGUUGAUUAAGUCUGAUGUGAAAGCCCACGGCUUAACCGUGGAGGGUCAUUGGAAACUGGUCGACUUGAGUGCAGAAGAGGGAAGUGGAAUUCCAUGUGUAGCGGUGAAAUGCGUAGAGAUAUGGAGGAACACCAGUGGCGAAGGCGGCUUCCUGGUCUGUAACUGACACUGAGGCGCGAAAGCGUGGGGAGCAAACAGGAUUAGAUACCCUGGUAGUCCACGCCGUAAACGAUGAGUGCUAAGUGU